This is a long non-coding RNA of Salmo trutta (river trout), 1549 nucleotides long. Lineage: Eukaryota; Metazoa; Chordata; Actinopteri; Salmoniformes; Salmonidae. The record is from Ensembl.
CAACAACAACAAGAGGAGAAAAAGAGAAAGUUUGAGAGAAAUCAAGAAGAAGAAGAUAUAUGGAAACAGAAGCAAAUUGACAUGGAGAAGGAGGGAAGAGAGAGGAAGAAGAAGAUACAGAGAAAGAUAGAAGAGAUACACAGACGACAACAACAAGAGGAGAGACAGAAACAAAUGGAGAAAGAGAAAGAAAGGGAGAAAGACAAUGAGAAUCAGGGAGAGAAGGAAUUAAAAGAUCAGCAACAGAAAGAGAUAGAGAAAGAAAAUAUGAUUAUGAGAGAGAGGGAGGAAGUAGGAAGAAGAAAUGAGGGGCAGAAUGAACUGGAGAUAGAACAGGAGAGAGAGAUGGAAGAAAAGCAGGAAGUGAUUAUUAAGAAAGCAGAGGAAGAGUACAUGGAAAGAGAAGAGAGAGGAAAGGAAGUAAGCAUGAAGAAAGAUGUAGUAGUUAAUGUUAAAGCUAAAGCACGGGAAGUCUUCAAUAGACGUAAAGAGAGGAGGUUAGAAGUGUUGAAGGGGGAACGAGAACACAUAGAAAGAGGACAACAAAUCAGGAGGGAGAAGGAGGAAAGACGGCUGGAGAUGGAAAGAAAACAGGAGAGGGCAAGACAACAAGAGGAGCAGGAUAAAAAACGAGAGAUUGGAAUUGCCAGACAGAAAGAAAUGUUCAGACUAAGAGAGGAGGAGAGGCAGAGAGAGGAAAAGAGAGAGGAGGAAAGAAAGAGAGCUAUUGAAGGCCAUUUAGCUUUAAUCAGAGAGAGAGAGAACACCAUAAAGGCAAACAAAAGAGAGGAGAUGUCAGAAGAGGAAAGAAGAGAGAUCCCUGGGAAUUACAAGAUGGGUGAGACAGAGAACAGUGAAGAGGAGGAGGAGAAGGAAGAUGACAAGGAGGACAUUCUCCCACCUGAUAAAAGUAUCCGAAGGAGAGCUGUGGACUGGGUGAAUAAGAAGUGGGAGAAGAGGAACCUCAAAAAGAUCGGGAGAACGUAUCAGAGAGAGGCUAGGGAGGGCUAUAAGAUCGUCCACCUAGCCUUCCCUGGACAACCAAGGGUAAUAUCCACCAUGACCCGGGCAGAGAGAGAGAGAGGGAGAAGAGGAAGGAGCUGCUGAAGGAUGAGGAGAGAAGGAAGAAGUUGAGGAUUUCAAUAAGCAGUGGAGAGAGCAGUCCUGCUUAAAAAAAGGACUCAUCAGAAUCUGAAGGAGGAGAGAGGAGAGGAUGAAGGAAAAGUACCUGGACCAGAUGAAUCUUGAGGCUGAUGCUCAAAUCAACACCCGGUGUCUAACCACCCAACACAGCCACGAUUCCAACCAGGUCAGGCAUUGCCGGGAUGGGCCACAGGCCAACAGGUAAGCCAAGAGCCUGUUGGAUCUGGAGAUAGCCAGCAGGAGGGGCCAAGGAGGCAGCAGGCAUGGGCAGAGAACCAGGAGGGGAGUUCGGAGAACCAGCAGGAGUGGCCAGAGAACCAACAGGGGGUGCCAGGGAGCCAGCAGCUAGAAGCUCCAGAAGAGGCUGAAACAUCAGAGCCAACCUCCAAGAACAAGAAAAGGCCAC